Molecule: long non-coding RNA, 1175 nt
Filed under: Vigna radiata
Lineage: Eukaryota; Viridiplantae; Streptophyta; Magnoliopsida; Fabales; Fabaceae
Description: long non-coding RNA (VRAD_LNC014784)
Source: RNAcentral
UGCUGCAGCCUAAAGUUGUUGUUGUACCUCCUAGAUUGCACGAGUGAUGCUGGAUCGUGGAAGCAUGGGAGCUGCUGCAUGAAGAAAAGAAUAAAUGGGAUGCAUGUGGAAUGUGGUCUGCUGAAAGAGUGAACGUUGCUGCCCAAGCUACUAAAGCUCACUCCAAUUACUAAUGGACCAAUUACUUGUGGGAUGGAUGCUGGAUGUGUGCAGGCUCGUGAAUUAGCUUGACGUGGUGCAGCCAAAUGCCUUUGCUGAUGCUAGGCUGCUUCUUGCUUCUCACAGGUGCAGCUGGAAGUUGUAGGACAUGGACGUUGCUGGAGUGCGGGCUGGUCUCGAAUGUUGGAUGAGUGUUGCGUCUUUACAAGCCCAAGGUCCGUGAGCUCCUUCUCAAAAGUUGGACAUAUCAAAGCAUGGGCCAACUUCUUCCUUCUCGGUGGUGGACUUGUUUGCUUUCAUAUGCUGGAGGUUCUUCUCCGUGGACCAGGCCGUGAGCUUUGCUUGGACAGCAUGGGCUCUCUUCAUUUGUUGCACCUCCUAAGCUUGAGUGAAUCGGCAACUGCUCCUGGGUGUUACAACUCUUCACAUGGAUGCGUUUGCUGGACUUGAAGGCUUUGUGCAAGCCCUGACAUUCCCAAGCUGGGCCGUGCUGCUUCCAUCACUACAUAUUCUCCAUGAAAAAUAAAAUAUGCAAUGUGUGUAUGGCGCUACAGACCCUAAGGUGUGUCCGUCCCCACCUCAACAGUGUGGGUCCCUUUUUUCAUAUAUGGUGUGGCUGCCCUAUAUUAUUUUUAGACCACCUAAUUCAUUGCUCACGAUGUUUUUUUUUCUUUAGCUGGCCCACACUUCCUAAAAGCCAAAAAUAAUUCUCGUGGACCCAAGAUAAAUUCAGCGUGCACUUGCUAAACCUCCAACGCCAUCAUAAUCAAUGCAUCAACGUCUCCUUUUCUUCGGUGUCAGCUGAAUGUGGCCGUGUGUCCAAAUGAAGGAUGUGUAUGGAACUUUUUAUGCAGUUGGGCCGUUUGCUGUAUGCACUCCUUGGGUGUUGAUUAAGAGAAUGCAUCUGUGAAAUCCUUACUGGACGUGAGAGGUGUGGUGUAGCCCAAUUGCUAACGUGUUUCCUUUCUCCAAGUUGCUGGAUCAUUAUUCACGUGUUGGACGUAAUCUGGGCCGCG